This 423-nucleotide ribosomal RNA is filed under the name uncultured bacterium. Its description in RNAcentral is "bacterial SSU rRNA". It matches the Rfam family "Bacterial small subunit ribosomal RNA", at positions 202 to 622 of the family's 1533-position model. The record is from RNAcentral.
AAGASCUUGCGCUUUUGGAGCGGCCGAUGUCUGAUUAGCUAGUUGGUGGGGUAAUGGCCUACCAAAGCUUCGAUCAGUAGCUGGUCUGAGAGGACGGCCAGCCACACUGGGACUGAGACACGGCCCAGACUCCUACGGGAGGCAGCAGUGGGGAAUUUUGGACAAUGGGCGCAGGCCUGAUCCAGCCAUGCCGCGUGAGUGAAGAAGGCCUUCGGGUUGUAAAGCUCUUUCAGCCGGGAAGAAAAGGCUGCGACUAAUAAUCGCAGUUCAUGACGGUACCGGAAGAAGAAGCACCGGCUAACUACGUGCCAGCAGCCGCGGUAAUACGUAGGGUGCGAGCGUUAAUCGGAAUUACUGGGCGUAAAGGGUGCGCAGGCGGUUUUGUAAGUCAGAUGUGAAAUCCCCGGGCUUAACCUGGGAACU